GGGGAUGAUGAUGAUGAAGAAGAAGAACUUGAUUUUUAUACCCCAUUUUUCUUGGCNGAAGCUGACUCAAAGCGGCUUACAAGGUUAUUUUUUACCCGAAGGCUUACAUCUAUCUUCCGCAUCACACAAGUGAUGCUCCCUAUUUAUCUACUUGCAAUUACUUGCUUUCGAACAGCUAGGUUGACUGGAGCUAGAGGUCAGUAGAGGGCGCUCAUCCCCUCUACACGGCAGACAAGGGCCCCGAACUCUGAUCCUCCUAUUGAAGUUCAGGAACAUCUGGAGGACUGNGAGUGAGCAGACCUGGGCUAACGUUUCUGCUGUUGCUGGUAAAUGGCUUAACUGUAAUAAUGUACCAAAUGAAGAUUUCCCAUUGUUUUAUCUUCCAAUAGGAGGAAGUGUAGGAAAAAGAAAUUCUUCAUAUCACCAGGUUUUCCCACUAUAUAAUGGCACAUGGAAACUGUCUGAUCCUGAAAGACAAAGCAAAUGACACAGUUGUUUCCAGGAGCAAAAGAGAAUGAAAUAUGUAGAAUGGGCUUCUUCACCACCACCACCAACACCACCAUCAUCAUUAUUGUUGUUGUUCUGGCAAAUAUUCUUUUUCUCUUCCAUCCAAGUGACUGUCCACACAGAAGCACAGAUCAGUUUAGGUCAGGCUACGUUGUGAGCAGCUCCCAUGAUGCAUCCCACAAUCAGCUUUCAAUGCAUUCCAAAGUGCCAUUUCAGGAGUCUCCAAACUACCUUAAAAUAGCCCGAAAAUGUCUUUUCUUACUGUGUGUCAUUCCCAAGUUUCACUGGUUUUGAUUUACUUUGGGUGUUAUGGGCAUUACUACGAACACAUCUAUAGUAGGUGUGCAUACACAUAACACGCAAAGGACAUGUAUCUCUGGACUUUGGACUAUACAGCUGUAUGGGUGUUCUAACCAUGGCUUGCUCGUGGAAGGCAACUUGAAAGCAUUAUAAAGGAAAAGCCAUCUUGGAAGAAAAGACAAACCCCAUUUUGAAAUUGAGACUUUUUUCCUUCACACCUCCAUCUUCAUUUUAAGACAGAAGAAGUUUUCUGUAGACUGGAAAACCCUAGAAGCAUGUUGCAGGAGCACCUGGACUCUGCUUUUGUUUUGUUAACAUUGUCUUCACACUUGGCACAAUGCUCUUAGCGCAGCAAUGCUCUUUAAACUUCUCUUAGCAGUACCCUUGCCAUUGUGUCACACCAUUGUAACUUUGCUUUUUAUCUUUGAACCUGCCUGAUCACUAUAUUAUUAUCAAAGCCUGUUAUCUUGUUGAUGGCUGUUGCAGCCACUCAAUAAAUUGCUUCUUAUCCUUUUUAUUGUUUGAAAU
This 1335-nucleotide long non-coding RNA is filed under the name Salvator merianae (Argentine black and white tegu). Its description in RNAcentral is "lncRNA (ENSSMRG00000011961.1)". The record is from RNAcentral. Lineage: Eukaryota; Metazoa; Chordata; Lepidosauria; Squamata; Teiidae.